GAUGAACGCUGGCGGCGUGCCUAAUACAUGCAAGUCGAGCGAACAGACGAGGAGCUUGCUCCUCUGACGUUAGCGGCGGACGGGUGAGUAACACGUGGAUAACCUACCUAUAAGACUGGGAUAACUUCGGGAAACCGGAGCUAAUACCGGAUAAUAUAUUGAACCGCAUGGUUCAAUAGUGAAAGACGGUUUUGCUGUCACUUAUGGAUGGAUCCGCGCCGCAUUAGCCAGUUGGUAAGGUAACGGCUUACCAAGGCAACGAUGCGUAGCCGACCUGAGAGGGUGAUCGGCCACACUGGAACUGAGACACGGUCCAGACUCCUACGGGAGGCAGCAGUAGGGAAUCUUCCGCAAUGGGCGAAAGCUUGACGGAGCAACGCCGCGUGAGUGAUGAAGGUCUUCGGAUCGUAAAACUCUGUUAUUAGGGAAGAACAAAUGUGUAAGUAACUAUGCACGUCUUGACGGUACCUAAUCAGAAAGCCACGGCUAACUACGUG
Molecule: ribosomal RNA, 497 nt
Filed under: uncultured bacterium
Lineage: Bacteria
Description: partial 16S ribosomal RNA
Rfam family: Bacterial small subunit ribosomal RNA
Source: RNAcentral